GGUGGCUUAGUGGUAGAGCGCUUAUCUUGCAUACAUGAGGCCCUGGGUUCGAUUCCUCAGCACCA
This 65-nucleotide transfer RNA is filed under the name Dipodomys ordii (Ord's kangaroo rat). It matches the Rfam family "tRNA". From Rfam's summary of the family: Transfer RNA (tRNA) molecules are approximately 80 nucleotides in length. Their secondary structure includes four short double-helical elements and three loops (D, anti-codon, and T loops). Further hydrogen bonds mediate the characteristic L-shaped molecular structure. tRNAs have two regions of fundamental functional importance: the anti-codon, which is responsible for specific mRNA codon recognition, and the 3' end, to which the tRNAs corresponding amino acid is attached (by aminoacyl-tRNA synthetases). tRNAs cope with the degeneracy of the genetic code in two manners: having more than one tRNA (with a specific anti-codon) for a particular amino acid; and 'wobble' base-pairing, i.e. permitting non-standard base-pairing at the 3rd anti-codon position. Lineage: Eukaryota; Metazoa; Chordata; Mammalia; Rodentia; Heteromyidae. The record is from Rfam by way of RNAcentral.